UAAAGUGCGAUAACUAGUGUGAAUUGCAUUACUUUGUGAACCAUCGAGUUUUUGAACGCAGUGUGCGCUUGCAGUAGUGCGAGCAUGCCUGGCUGAGAGUUGUAAAUUCAACGCAAGUGUGGAGAUAUACUUGCGAUUUGGACGGCAAGUACGCUUCCGUCUGGGAUUAUGCGGCAGGAAGACGCUGUGCAGUUGGCAGACGCUACGCACUCACGUCGACUGAGCCAAACAAGCAAACGGCCUCAGCUCAGGCAGGACGACCCGCUGAACUUAA
This 274-nucleotide unclassified non-coding RNA is filed under the name uncultured fungus. RNAcentral describes it as "sequence contains ITS1". The stretch from base 1 to 102 matches the Rfam family "5.8S ribosomal RNA", at positions 49 to 154 of the family's 154-position model. Lineage: Eukaryota; Fungi. The record is from RNAcentral.